RNAcentral lists this long non-coding RNA (277 nucleotides) under Lathyrus oleraceus (garden pea). RNAcentral's name for it is "Pisum sativum (pea) long non-coding RNA (PSAT_LNC030831)". The record is from RNAcentral. Lineage: Eukaryota; Viridiplantae; Streptophyta; Magnoliopsida; Fabales; Fabaceae.
GUUCGUCGGGAUGCCCAUUUUUACCCAAGUCGUCGACUUAGCAGGUCAUUCUUAUGCAAAAUAUUUUUUGACUACGUCUGCGUUUACAGGGAGUGGAAAAUCCUCACCAUCCAUAGUAGUGAGCAUCAUGGCUCCGCCAUAGAAAAUCUUCCUUAUCACAUAUGACCCUUCAUAAUUCGGAGUCCACUUGCUCCUGAGAUCAAACUGAGGAAGAAUAAUUCUUUUCAACACAAGGUCACCAGCUUGGUAACUCUGAGUACGAACUCUUCGAUCGAAC